RNAcentral lists this long non-coding RNA (273 nucleotides) under Scleropages formosus (Asian bonytongue). Its description in RNAcentral is "lncRNA (ENSSFOG00015031148.1)". Lineage: Eukaryota; Metazoa; Chordata; Actinopteri; Osteoglossiformes; Osteoglossidae. The record is from RNAcentral.
GGCAAGGAAGCCACAUGGCCGGCAGCACAAGGAUCUGAUUGCAUCCACAGCUAAGGACUGAGAAAUCAAUGUCAAAGAUGAGACAGAGGCCAAUGGCAGACAUCUUCUAUGCGGGGGAUCAGGAGAGCAGACUCAAGUGCUAAUGCUAUCUCACUUUCUUCAAGCGGGGUUGCAUCCAGAGAACAGAGCAGAACAGUUAGCCUCAGAAGAGAUAGUACAGGUUUUACACACCAAGGUGGAUCACUGUUUCAGGUGUGGGAACCUCCAGUCGAG